This 665-nucleotide long non-coding RNA is filed under the name Pan troglodytes (chimpanzee). RNAcentral describes it as "lincRNA". Lineage: Eukaryota; Metazoa; Chordata; Mammalia; Primates; Hominidae. The record is from RNAcentral.
AUUGGGAAUGGAGGGAAAUAAAUGACUGGAUGGUCGCUGCUUUUUGAGUUUCAAAUUGACAUUCUAGACAAGCGGUGCCUGAGCCCGUGCCUGUCUUCAGAUCUUCACAGCACAGUUCCUGGGAAGGUGGAGCCACCAGCCUCUCCCUGACAAGCAAAGUGGAUCAGCAAAGGCUGCAGUCACCAGCAUCUUUUCCAACCUUAAUGAACUGUAUCCUCAAAAGAACACUAUCAGACUGACUCUGCCGACUUCCAGUUCUGGAACAAGAUGGUUAAACUCAUUUUUCCCUGCUCUGCUCCUCUAAAUACAACUGAGUACCUUGGAAACUAUUCAGCAGACAAUGAUAAAGGGCUCUGAAAGCUAGAAGAAAAGGUGUACUUGCAAGAAACCUCAGGACUUGAGUAACAGCAACAUGGAGCCACACCGGUGAGGGCAGGGAGAGGGUGCUGGCUCUGAGCCAACUUUGCAGGGAAGGCCCAGCAGACCACGCUCAUUACUUACAGCCAGCAUCACUGGGGAACUCCGGCACAGACCUGUAGUUAGUGCCCCACAGCGCCCCAGCCUUCUCUCCCGACAGGAGCGGCCAGGACAGGGAGCAGAAGGUGACUGCUGUGCUGCCUGGAGCUCUUCUGUCCGGAGGCUAGUGAAACUAGAGAAACUCAGUG